This 76-nucleotide transfer RNA is filed under the name Clostridia bacterium. RNAcentral describes it as "tRNA-Tyr". It matches the Rfam family "tRNA". From Rfam's summary of the family: Transfer RNA (tRNA) molecules are approximately 80 nucleotides in length. The record is from RNAcentral. Lineage: Bacteria; Bacillati; Bacillota; Clostridia.
GUCGGAUUAUUGCAAUAGUUAGCAAACCUGACCAUAAGUCAGGAAAUGGCGGGUUCGACUCCCCCAUCCGUCACCA